CGAGGGGCAGCGGGAAGGUUAGCUUGCUAACCUUUGCUGGCGACCGGCGCACGGGUGAGUAACACGUAUGCAACCUGUCCGGUACAGGGGGAUAAGCGGCGGAAACGCCGUCUAAUACCGCGUGACAACCCGAGGGGGCAUCCCCUUGGGUUCAAAGGAGAGAUCCGGUACCGGCUGGGCAUGCGGCGCAUUAGCUAGUUGGCGGGGCAACGGCCCACCAAGGCGACGAUGCGUAGGGGUUCUGAGAGGAAGGUCCCCCACACUGGAACUGAGACACGGUCCAGACUCCUACGGGAGGCAGCAGUGAGGAAUAUUGGUCAAUGGGCGCAAGCCUGAACCAGCCAAGUCGCGUGAGGGAAGACGGCCCUACGGGUUGUAAACCUCUUUUGCCGGGGAGCAAGCCUGAGCACGUGUGCCCAGGCGGAGAGUACCCGGAGAAAAAGCAUCGGCUAACUCCGUGCCAGCAGCCGCGGUAAUACGGAGGAUGCGAGCGUUAUCCGGAUUUAUUGGGUUUAAAGGGUGCGCAGGCGGGCUGUUAAGCCGGCGGUAAAAAUUCAGGGCUCAACCCUGUCGAGCCGUCGGAACUGGCAGUCUUGAGUGGGCGAGAAGUAUGCGGAAUGCGUGGUGUAGCGGUGAAAUGCAUAGA
This 646-nucleotide ribosomal RNA is filed under the name uncultured bacterium. Its description in RNAcentral is "bacterial SSU rRNA". It matches the Rfam family "Bacterial small subunit ribosomal RNA", at positions 63 to 694 of the family's 1533-position model. The record is from RNAcentral.